Molecule: long non-coding RNA, 1121 nt
Filed under: Junco hyemalis (dark-eyed junco)
Lineage: Eukaryota; Metazoa; Chordata; Aves; Passeriformes; Passerellidae
Description: lncRNA (ENSJHYG00000001885.1)
Source: RNAcentral
CUUUAAAGAGUCAAGACACAAACAUGUUCAGAUAAGCGGAGUGUCACUGUAGUAGGUGGCUGUGUAGGCAGCGGGCAGUGCCCUGGGUUCUGUUUGGUGCAGGACAGGCAGGGAUGUGCCAGGAGCCCUCUCAGCCCGCUCCGGUGCCGACGUUCCCUGGGUAUCCGAUCCGGCAUUAGCAUGCUGACAGCUCAGCAUUUAGGACAUUAUGGUAAUUUAUCCUGCAUACGCUGUCACCUGCACUGUCAGAGUUUGUUUUUAAUGAUGGUAUAACUAUUUUGUUUGUUUGUACUGCAUUCUUUUCAUUUGGCUAAUGUCUCCUCAUUAGAUUGCACCUAGUAAAUGAGAGUAAUUAAGUGUUUCCUAUAGCUCAGACGCAAUGAUUAAGUUGCAGAGUUGAUGCUGAUUAUGUUUUGCCAUUUAUCUCUAUUAAUCUGAGAAUAAUCCAGAUGAUAAACACGUGUAAUUUUUUAGCUAAUGUUCAAUAGAUGAAAUUUAUAGCUUCUCAAUGGAGCCAAACAAUGUGUGUAUUUUUAUAUGAAUCCUAAGUUAUUGUACUUAUAUUUAAACAUACAAUUAUCUGUACAACUAAGAAAAAGAAGUGGAAAAUCUACUGAAUGUAGAGAUCCUCACUUUUAAAAAUGCAUUUGUGUAUGGAAAACGACUACUCAUAAUUCACAGUUCAGUGACUGUCUUUAUUCUGCUUUCUCAAAUAUCUACAGAGAUUCCUGUGGUGAUAUUUCCGAGGAUUUUUUCCUGCAGUUAUUAUCUGUAUUUGUUAUUAUUAAUUCUAGAAUACAAAUUGCAUCUCUAGUACUGAAAUGUAAUUUUCAUAUAGAUACUUCCAAAUGACUGUUUAGAAACAGAAAAAAAAAACCAAAAAAACACUAACACAUCAAAUUAAGUACCUCACAGUAAUUUGUAAAUCUUUAAUUUAACUUUCAUGCUGUAGAUAGACAUUGAAAAAUAGCUUGAGUUAUUUCUUCAACACAAAGUAGCAAUAAUUAAUUUUGAUGCAAAUAGUAAUGGCAACACUAGGAAUACCAUGAGUUGUUUGAUGGUAUUCCUUUGUUUUCCUGGCUCUAUGACCUUCCUAGCACAUCACACUGUGAUGUGCUAUU